GUAAUUUGAAGUGAUCACAGUAACUAUUAAGAAAAUCUAAAAUUUCAGUUCGAGUGACAUAACUCUUAUCGUUUUCUGGUAUUGGAAAAUCUGGAUAGCCCAUUACUUCUUUUGAAUUUUUUGCUUCCAAAAGAUGAAAAUUCAAUCUUACCGCAGACUUUUGUACAUACUGGAAUGAAUAGGCAGUCCAUAAUGAUCAACGCCGAUCUCUGGAGUAUAAACCCAGGGUCUUCAGUGGCGAGAAGAAGAACGACGUGACGGACAGCUGCUAAUCCGGCGCUUCCUGCUCCAACUAUUGCUAUACGCAUUUUAAUGAUAUUUUACAAAUAUUCUAACGUUAAAUAAAUCGAACACAGUUAUGAUCCA
Cotesia glomerata is the source of this 366-nucleotide long non-coding RNA. RefSeq lists it as uncharacterized. Lineage: Eukaryota; Metazoa; Arthropoda; Insecta; Hymenoptera; Braconidae. The record is from RefSeq and is a predicted model, not a curated record. The transcript has 3 exons.